This 234-nucleotide ribosomal RNA is filed under the name Staphylococcus aureus. Its description in RNAcentral is "partial 23S ribosomal RNA". It matches the Rfam family "Bacterial large subunit ribosomal RNA", at positions 2497 to 2730 of the family's 2925-position model. Lineage: Bacteria; Bacillati; Bacillota; Bacilli; Caryophanales; Staphylococcaceae. The record is from RNAcentral.
AGUUCACAUCGACGGGGAGGUUUGGCACCUCGAUGUCGGCUCAUCGCAUCCUGGGGCUGUAGUCGGUCCCAAGGGUUGGGCUGUUCGCCCAUUAAAGCGGUACGCGAGCUGGGUUCAGAACGUCGUGGGACAGUUCGGUCCCUAUCCGUCGUGGGCGUAGGAAAUUUGAGAGGAGCUGUCCUUAGUACGAGAGGACCGGGAUGGACAUACCUCUGGUGUACCAGUUGUCGUGCC